AUCUCUUGUUGUACUUGUUUAUUUAUCUCACUUUUUUAAGCUAGGUUGUGUUUCAAAAGUCUAGUAAUAACUAGUGAAGAUCUUCUAAACUUAAUAUACAUACAUACAAACAUCCAUCCGUCCCAAUGCAUUAGGCCCUAUCUAAAAUCAUGUGUGCUUUUGGGACCAAAGGAAAUGUUUGUCCACUGUAGUUCCACGCA
RNAcentral lists this long non-coding RNA (200 nucleotides) under Elaeis guineensis (African oil palm). RNAcentral's name for it is "long non-coding RNA (EGUI_LNC011371)". Lineage: Eukaryota; Viridiplantae; Streptophyta; Magnoliopsida; Arecales; Arecaceae. The record is from RNAcentral.